UGGGGAAUUUUGGACAAUGGGCGAAAGCCUGAUCCAGCAAUGCCGCGUGUGUGAAGAAGGCCUUCGGGUUGUAAAGCACUUUUGUCCGGAAAGAAAUCCUUGGCUCUAAUACAGUCGGGGGAUGACGGUACCGGAAGAAUAAGCACCGGCUAACUACGUGCCAGCAGCCGCGGUAAUACGUAGGGUGCAAGCGUUAAUCGGAAUUACUGGGCGUAAAGCGUGCGCAGGCGGUUUGCUAAGACCGAUGUGAAAUCCCCGGGCUCAACCUGGGAACUGCAUUGGGUGACUGGCAGGCUAGAGUAUGGCAGAGGGGGGUAGAAUUCCACGUGUAGCAGUGAAAUGCGUAGAGAUGUGGAGGAAUACCGAUGGCGAAGGCAGCCCCCUGGGCCAAUACUGACGCUCAUGCACGAAAGCGUGGGGAGCAAACAGGAUUAGAUACCCUGGUAGUCCACGCCCUAAA
Molecule: ribosomal RNA, 460 nt
Filed under: uncultured bacterium
Lineage: Bacteria
Description: partial 16S ribosomal RNA
Rfam family: Bacterial small subunit ribosomal RNA
Source: RNAcentral